RNAcentral lists this ribosomal RNA (253 nucleotides) under uncultured bacterium. Its description in RNAcentral is "partial 16S ribosomal RNA". It matches the Rfam family "Bacterial small subunit ribosomal RNA", at positions 524 to 776 of the family's 1533-position model. The record is from RNAcentral.
UACGGGGGGGGCAAGCGUUGUUCGGAAUUACUGGGCGUAAAGGGCUCGUAGGUGGCCAACUAAGUCAGACGUGAAAUCCCUCGGCUUAACCGGGGAACUGCGUCUGAUACUGGAUGGCUUGAGUUUGGGAGAGGGACGCGGAAUUCCAGGUGUAGCGGUGAAAUGCGUAGAUAUCUGGAGGAACACCAACAGCGAAGGCAGCACUCUGGGCCGGUACUGACGCUGAGGAGCGAAAGCAUGGGGAGCGAACAGG